UGAUUGGUAUCUUAAUAUUUUAAUAAUCAUGGAUAUGGGUAUGGUGUAUGAGUGGUAUGAAGAAUCAUUGGCAUCGGAGACUCACACAAUUAGGCGGUCACACAACAGGAAUUAAAAACCAAAGAAAAUGAGUUGAUUAGCUCCAUCAUCAAAUCUACUGAUAAAUCUAUAAUAAAAAACCAAGUCUUCUUCUAUGGUUGAGAAAAUUCUAGGUGACCUGGCUUUUUUUUUUUUUUCCGUGGGGAAGGCGAUCGACCUAGUAGAC
Molecule: long non-coding RNA, 265 nt
Filed under: Durio zibethinus
Lineage: Eukaryota; Viridiplantae; Streptophyta; Magnoliopsida; Malvales; Malvaceae
Description: long non-coding RNA (DZIB_LNC002063)
Source: RNAcentral